UGGGGAAUAUUGCACAAUGGGCGGAAGCCUGAUGCAGCGACGCCGCGUGGGGGAUGAAGGCCUUCGGGUUGUAAACUCCUUUCGACAGGGACGAAGCUUUUGUGACGGUACCUGUAUAAGAAGCACCGGCUAACUACGUGCCAGCAGCCGCGGUAAUACGUAGGGUGCGAGCGUUGUCCGGAAUUACUGGGCGUAAAGAGCUCGUAGGUGGUUUGUCGCGUCGUCUGUGAAAUUCCGGGGCUUAACUCCGGGCGUGCAGGCGAUACGGGCUGACUUGAGUGCUGUAGGGGAGACUGGAAUUCCUGGUGUAGCGGUGAAAUGCGCAGAUAUCAGGAGGAACACCGACGGCGAAGGCAGGUCUCUGGGCAGUAACUGACGCUGAGGAGCGAAAGCAUGGGUAGCGAACAGG
RNAcentral lists this ribosomal RNA (409 nucleotides) under Actinomycetes bacterium. RNAcentral describes it as "Actinobacteria bacterium partial 16S ribosomal RNA". It matches the Rfam family "Bacterial small subunit ribosomal RNA", at positions 355 to 776 of the family's 1533-position model. Lineage: Bacteria; Bacillati; Actinomycetota; Actinomycetes. The record is from RNAcentral.